GGAGAGGUUGCCUUGCUAAAAGCGAAUGCUUUGGUCUUUCAACUACAUCUUUCUACUAUGGUGUAUGCCAAAAGCAUGUGUGCUAUACAGUCAUGCAAUAUACAAGAUGAUUACUUAAGUUGUAAAUUAAAAUUUGCUUAUAAACAUCAAAUUAAAGAAAUGAAGCAAGAGAUAGAAAAACACACCAAUUUAAGAACUAAUUUUACAACACAACAUUGUAAAACCAUAAACUUAAAUCUGCAAAGUACUAUAAAUCUACUAGUUAUGUUGUUCAGUCGAAUGAAUAUUAUGGUCCCCUGUUCUAAGACUGACAGCUUCAAUCUGUUCGAGUGUCUCUACUACUUCUUUCAUUGAUGGUCGAAGAAGGGGUUCAGGCCGAAGACAUUUAACUGCAAGAUAAGCUAUUUGUUUGGCCUCUUUGGAAGGAUAUUUUCCCUCCAACCGAGAGUCCAUUAUAUUUUUCAAACCUUUCCUCUUGGUCAGAUGUGGUUUAACCCAAUCAACUAGCACACGUUGCCCAGACGGACGCUUUCUAUCAAAUGCCCGUAAGCCUGUCAGCAUCUCAACCAAAACAACGCCAAAACUGUAUACAUCACUCUUUACAAACAAAUGACCUGAUCAGUUGUGGAAAUCGAUGUCAUAACCAGUUCUGAAGCUUGCUGUGAUAAUCAAACUGGCUAAAUACGCUAAAGAAAAGGAUUAGUUUGCUUGAGACAUUCAAGUCCAAGAAGAUCAUAAGAACAAAGAAGUACCUGUUGAAACGUACUCUGGAUCAGCAUAACCAAGUGUGCCCAUGACAAGAGUACUGACAUGUGAAUUAUCAGUCAAAGGACCAAAAAAUGCUAAUCCAAAGUCUGCGAUCUUUGCAUCAUAGAACUCAUCAAGCAGUAUGUUGGAAGACUUGAAA
This 907-nucleotide unclassified non-coding RNA is filed under the name Hevea brasiliensis (rubber tree). Lineage: Eukaryota; Viridiplantae; Streptophyta; Magnoliopsida; Malpighiales; Euphorbiaceae. The record is from RNAcentral.